UACGUAGGUGGCGAGCGUUGUCCGGAUUUACUGGGCGUAAAGAGCGCGCAGGCGGUCGUUCAAGUCGCGUGUGAAAGCCCCCGGCUCAACUGGGGAGGGUCACGCGAUACUGAUCGACUCGAAGGCAGGAGAGGGAAGUGGAAUUCCCGGUGUAGUGGUGAAAUGCGUAGAUAUCGGGAGGAACACCAGUGGCGAAGGCGAGUCCCUGGACAACUUCUGACGCUGAGGCACGAAAGCUAGGGGAGCAAACAGG
RNAcentral lists this ribosomal RNA (253 nucleotides) under uncultured bacterium. Its description in RNAcentral is "partial 16S ribosomal RNA". It matches the Rfam family "Bacterial small subunit ribosomal RNA", at positions 524 to 776 of the family's 1533-position model. The record is from RNAcentral.